Molecule: non-coding RNA, 30 nt
Filed under: Mus musculus (house mouse)
Lineage: Eukaryota; Metazoa; Chordata; Mammalia; Rodentia; Muridae
Source: RNAcentral
UAAGAGGUACCCAGAUUCAAGAGAGCAGCC